CCUCACUUCCUCGCGUGCCCCUUUCUGCUACCUUUGUCCUCCCCUGGCCCGAGGAAAUGAAAUGAACGAAGACCCCUAGCCACACAGGAGCUGUUUAGGCAGUUAGCAGUUUUUUAAAGCUAUCAGUUGAUGUGGUAGGACCUUCCAGAGAAACGAAACCAACAAGCACAUGUGUGUAUGCAUGGACACAUCUGCAUGCACACACACAUCACGGGAAGUCACCUGGAGUUGUCCAUGCAGUGUUGGAGGUCUGUCUGCAUGCUGGAGGACUUGGAGAACUGAUGAUGAGGUUGGGAUCUGAGUGGAGAAGAUGGCUGAUGCAGUGUGACACAGAGAGGAGGAGUGCUCUUUCCUUCUGCCGUCUGCUCUCUGGGCUGUCCGUGGGUUUCAGGAGGCCCUCCAGGAUGUGUGGAUUAUCCUCCUUCCUCAGUCCUCUGCCCUAGAACACUUCUGCAGCCGUUCCUCAGGAACAGCGCUUAACCAGGAGUUUGGCCAUCUAUGGCUAGGUCAUGUGACAUGGAAAUAUUAACAGUCACACGUCUAUGAUAACCUUGGCACUCAUGCCUGUUUUUCACAUGAUACUCAUAGUCUGAAUAGACACAGGAACACAGGGUUAAUUCCUCCUGGAUUGACACAAUUAUCCAGAACCCAGUACAAAUGCUCCAACCUCUCCCGAGAAGAGGAGGUGAAAUCCUCAAGUGCUGUGGACUCUUUUGUUUAAUGUGCCACUGUGUAAGGACCACGGUGUAACUGACCAACACGUAGAUAUGGUCACGUGCUUGUGUGUCGCUACCCUGGAACAUGGAGGACUCUGCACCCUGGUGAGACUUGUCCUUCCUGGUUUCCUCAUCUGGGGAAGGACUUCCUGUGUUCAUACCUCAUAGGAGUAAAUGAGAAGCACACAACAUUUUCCCGCAUCCACGAGGUACAGCCAAAGACCCUAGAGCAAACUGCAGCCCCUAUGAUGAUACUGAGGCUCUAGGCUCUCUCUACAUGUAUGUGUACUGUAUGUGCAUAUAUAACAUAUAUGAAUAUAUUAUACGUCAUCUGCAUCUAUAACUCUACCUCUAUGUAUAUCACUCAAAUGCAUAUCUAUAUCAUCUAUACUCAUAUAUGUAUCGAUUUGCUAUUUUUACUUCUUUUCCCAUUUCCGUGUGUAUGGUAUGCAUGCAUGAUUGCAUGUACGUAGGAGUACUUGUGUGGAGGCCACUCUGCCUUCCCCACCACAGCACACUGUAUCCUUUCCAACUGUGAGCCAGAUAAAGGCCUUCUUCCCUGAAGUUGCUUCGUGUCAAAUACUUGGUUGCCGCAAGAGUACCACCACACAAGCCCAGCUAUCACGCGGUCUAACUUACCAGUCA
This is a long non-coding RNA of Meriones unguiculatus (Mongolian gerbil), 1361 nucleotides long. RefSeq lists it as uncharacterized. NCBI's taxonomy places the organism in Eukaryota, Metazoa, Chordata, Mammalia, Rodentia, Muridae. The transcript is spliced from 3 exons. The record is from RefSeq and is a predicted model, not a curated record.